UUGAACUUGAGAGUUUGAUCCUGGCUCAGAACGAAUGCUGGCGGCAUGCUUAACACAUGCAAGUCGAACGAAGACCCGGAGCUUGCUCCGGAUCUCUUAGUG
Molecule: ribosomal RNA, 102 nt
Filed under: Alphaproteobacteria bacterium
Lineage: Bacteria; Pseudomonadati; Pseudomonadota; Alphaproteobacteria
Description: partial 16S ribosomal RNA
Rfam family: Bacterial small subunit ribosomal RNA
Source: RNAcentral